AUAGGAGUAUUUAGGAUCCAGCUGUACAAAUCCCAAUUGAAUAUGGAUUUGUAGCCCCAAUUGAAUAUGGAUUAGUAGCAUUAUAAAAGGACUCGCAACAAAACAAAUAUUUGUUUCUCACUGUCUCUUUCUAAGUGUGGCUGUUUAUGUGUUUUUGUGUUACAAAUGUUCUAAGUGUUUGGGUUUAUGUGUUUUUGUAUGUGUUACUGUGUUUUUUGAUCCUUUUUUUUAUGUGAAUGUGUCUGUCUAUGUGCUUUGAUGCUUUUCUAUGUGCGUGUUUAUUUGUUGCUGUGUUUUCUCUGUCGAUGUUUUUGUGUUUUUUUUUUAUAUUUUAUUUUGGUGUUUCCGCUUCAAGCUGCUAAUGAGGAUCUCUGUCCACAACGUCAGGAUGGUAGCACAAACUGACGGGCUUAAUUACAAAGUAUUUCAGAUGGGAGUAACAAUCUCAGGGAAUUCUCAACUUGAAAGUGAAAACUGCUUUGUCAUAUUUUACCAGAUGGCAGGACUCAUCAAUUGGAUUCGGCGCAGCUGUUCGUGGUAACAAGAGAGCAGGUUCUGCAGUCACAUCGUCUUUAAUUGAAUGUGCCGAAAUUGCUGCUCUAAUAGCAGACUUUAUUGGGCGUCUCCCUAUUUUAGUUCGUUUAUGGGCUCGGCCAACUUGUGCAGGUGAAGCUACAUCUUAUAGAAAGAAAGAGCAUUGAGAUUGAUUGCAGAAAAGCCAUGCUGAGAGUAUUCAAACUGAAGCAUGUACGUGGUGGAUUGUACAUGUCAAAGCCGCAAGGCUUCACAUAUAAGAGCGGACAGUACAUGUUUGUCAACUGCGCUGCAGUCUCUUUCCUUCCAAUGGUAAUUAGUUAAGCCAUUUAUUAGCUUGACAAUAUAAUAAAAGGAAUUUAAUGUACUGCAGGCACCCAUCUUCAAUCACAUCAGCGCCUACAGACGACGACCUGAGUGACUGGACGCGCAAACUCAAAAUAUUUCCUCUGAGGUUUGUAAGCCUCCAUCGACUGGCAAGAGUGGAGUACUGAGAGCUGAGGGAGACAACUCAGCUGGGUUUCCAAAUAUAAUGACACACGAUCCAUAUGGAGCUCCAGCACAAGACUGCAAGAAGUAUUGAUGUGGUGCUGCUGAUGGGACUUGGGAUUGGGGUGACACCUAUGAUCAGAAUCUUGAAGGAUAUCAUUGAUAACAUGGAGAGGAUAGAAGGGAAAGAAUUAGGGUAGCAGAAAGAUUAGAGAAAAUUAAGGUUAUUGGCUUUAACAGGAGUAUUUACAGUAUGUCGUAUAGGUAGUUGCAAAAUAAAAUCUGCAGGCAUAUGCUGAAAAAUAUGCUCUAGAUAAGGAAUAAUUCUUCAAGGACUAUGCUGAAGCCCAUGCUAAGCUUAGCAAUAUUGGGGUCAGGCUUGUCAUCAUGAGUGCUUUGUUCAAGCCUGAAGUUGCAACUACUAACAUGAGAGGGAGAGAGAAGAAGACAGAGAUAGAGAGAGGAAGGAGCCUAAUAGAGAAGAAUGUGAGAGGGAGAGAGAAGAAGACAGAGAUAGAGAGAGGAAGGAGCCUAAUAGAGAAGAAUGUGAGAGGGAGAGAGGGAAAGAAAGAACCGUGAAAAAGUAGAACGUGAGAGGGAGAGACAUAGAGAGAGGGAGAAAAAAUGAACCAGAGAAGGAAUAAGAAAAGGAGAGACUCAUCAUGGAGAAGGAGAAGCGUCGAGGUAUAACAAGAACAUAGAAGAGUGGCCUAGAAGAGGUAGUGCUAAUAGAAGUCUCAGGUUUGAAAUUGAGCUCAAAUAUGGAGGUAAUGCAGGUAAAGUCAUGUAUAUAGUUAUUUAUUUAUUUUCAUAACAUUGGUAAAUUUGCCUUUUUGUUUGAAAAUAAAAGGCCAAGUGUGAAUAACGAUUUGUUUGAGGUCUUGUUAAUGCGCUGGAGCUUCUUAAGCCUAUGAAGGAUUAGUACCCUGGGAUAACAUAUGCAAAUCUAUCUCAGUACUGGUAUUGAGGUGCUGGUCCCCCUAAUCAUUUACUAGAAGUUUUUUACAGCAUGGGAUUCAAUGACAAGGAAAUAGCAACUUGCUCAAUAGCCUGCUGAUCAUUUACGAAAAUAUGUUUCAAACCAGAAGUAGUCAAGGCAGCAAUUGUAACAAGUCGUGGAUUAUGUCCCGGUCUCAGUGAUGUCAGCAGACAGAUUGUUAGCCCACUUGAAAUAUAUGGUGUCGGAAAGAUAAUGGGGAUUCCUUUUGGUUCUCGAAGAUUUUCUGAUAAAGGCUUGAGUGAAGCGCCGGUAUAUUCCGAUCAAUUAUUAUCUCAAUGUAGCUUGUAGAUGAGAAGACAGUUACCUCCAGGAUGGACCAAAGAAAGGUCAUAAGAUCAGAAGAGAUUCGACGACAUGAUUCAUCAAUUUAAUCGAGGUUCAGCAGUCACAUCUUUACCUGAUUGUGUAAGAGUGAAGAUCCUCCCUUUUUUAUUUUGGUGUUUUGGCUUAAAGCUGCUAAUGAGGAUCUAUGUCGACAACUUUAUGAAUACCGCAAACACUCAGGAUGGUAGCACUGUUAUGUAAAAACCGACGGGCUUAAGACGAGUUUGCGAAGUAUUUCAGAUGGGAGAAACAAUGUCAGAUGGCAGGAUUCAUCAAUUGGAUUCGGUGCAGCUGUUUGUGCUAACACGAGAGCAGGUUUUGCAGUCACAUCAUCUGUAAUUGAAUAUGUAAGAGUGAAGAUCCUCCUUUUCAGUUAAAUGGUCGAAAGUGCGGGUCUAUUAGCAGAGUUUAUUGGGCGUCUCCCUAUUUUAGUUCGUUUAUGUGCUCUUACAGAGGAUCAACUUGUGCAGUUGAAGCUACAUCUUAUAGAAAAAGCAUUGAGAUUGAUUGCAGAAAAGCCAUACUGAGAGUAUUCUAACUGAAGCAUGUAUGUGGUGGAUUGUACAUGUCAAAGCCGCAAGUCUUCAGAUAUAAGAGCCGACAGUACAUGCUUGUCAACUACGCUGUCGUCUCUUCCUUCCAAUGGUAAUUAGUUAAGCCAUUUAUCAGUUAGACAAUAAAAUAAAAGGAAUUUAAUGUAUUGCAGGCACCCACCUUCAGUCACAUCAGCACCAGCAGACGACUACCUCAGUGACUGGACGCGCAAACCCAAAAUGUUUCCUCUAAGGUUUGUAAGCCUCGACCCGCUGGCAAGAGUGGAGUGCUGAGGGAGACAACUCAACUGGGUUUCCAAACAUAAUGACAGACGGUCCAUAUGGAGCUCCAGCACAAGACUGCAAGAAGUAUGAUGUGGUGCUGUUGAUGGGACUUGGGAUUGGGGUGACACCUAUGAUCAGAAUCGUGAAGGAUAUCACUAAUAACAUGGAGAGGAUAGAAGGGAACGAAUUAUGGUAGCAGAAAGAUUAGAUAAAAUUAAGGUUAUUGGCUUUAAAGGGAGUAUUUAUAGUAUGUUGUAUAGGUAGUUGCAAUAUAAAAUCUGCAGGCAUAUGCUGGAAAAUAAGCUCCAGAUAAGGAAUAAUUCUUCAAGGACUAUGGUGAAGCCCAUGCUAAGCUUAGCAAUGUUGGGGUCAGGCUUGUCAUCAUGAGUGCUUUGUUCAAGCCUGAAGUUGCAAACACUAAGAUGAGAGGGAGAAAGAAAAAGACAGAGAUAGAGAGAGGAAGGAGCCUAAUGGAGAAUGUGAGAGGGAGAGAGAGGGAAAGAAAGGACCGUCAAAAAGAAGAAUGUGAGAGGGAGAGACAUAGGCAGAGGUAUAAAAGGGGAACGAAAGAAGGAAAAAGAGCGGGAAUGAGAAAAGGAGAAAUGCAUCAGACUUAGAGAGAAGAAGAAGCGUCGAGGUAUAACAAGAACAUAGAAGAGUGGCCAAGAAGGUAGUGCUAAUAGAAGUCUCAGGGUUGAAAGUGAGCUCAAACAUGGAGAAAAGGUCAAGUGUGAAUAGCAAUUUGUUUGAGCUCUUGUUAAUGCGUUGGAGCUUCUUAAGCCUAUGGAGGAGCAGUGCUCUGGGAUAACAUUUGCAGAUCUGUCUUGGUUGGCCAGUGCUACUGGUGCUGGUCCCCCUAAUCAUUUACGAGAAGUUUUUUACAGCAUGGGAUUCAAUGACAAGGAAAUAGUAACUUGCUCAAUAACCUGCUAAUCAUUUAUGAAAAUAUAUUUCAAACCAGAAGUAGUAAAGGCAGCAAUUGUAACUUGUGGUGGAUUAUGUUCUGGUCUCAAUGAUGUCAUCAGACAGAUCUUCAUCACACUUGAAAUAUAUAUGGUGUCAGAAAGAUAAUAGGGAUUCCUUUUGGUUGUCGAAGAUUUUCUGAUAAAGGCUUGAGUAGUGCCGUUUGUUAAGCAAUGUAGCUUGCAAAUGAGAAGACGCAACUAGAAGGGUUACCUCCAGGAUGGGCCAAAGAAAGGUCAUAAGAACAGAAGAGAUUCGACAACAUGAUUCAUCAAUUGGAUUCGGUGCAGCUGUUCGCGCUAACAUGAGAGCAGGUUUUGCAGUAACAUCAUCUUUAAUUGCAUAUGCCGAAAGUGCUGGUCUAAUAGCAGAGUUUAUUGGGCGGCUCCCUAUUUUAGUUCGUUUAUGAGCACUUACAGAGGAUCAAAUUGUGCAGGUGAAGCUACAUCUUAUAGAAAAAGCAUUGAGAUUGAUUGCAGAAAAGCCAUACUGAGAGUAUUCUAACUGAAGCCUGUAUGUGGUGGAUUGUACAUGUCAAAGCCACAAGUCUUCAGAUAUAAGAGCGGACAGUACAUAGUUGUCAACUGCGCUGCCGUCUCUUCCUUCCAAUGGUAAUUAGUGAAGCCGUAUAUUAGUUAGACAAUAAAAUAAAAGGAAUUUAAUGUACUGCAGGCACCCAUUUUCAAUCACAUCAGCACCAGCAGACGACUACCUUAGUGACUGGACGCGGAAACUCAAAAUGUUUCCUCUAAGGUUUGUAAGCCUCCACCGGCUGGCAAGAGUGGAGUGCUGAGAGCUAAGGGAGACAACUCAGCUGGACGGUGCAUAUGGACCUCCAGCACAAGACUGCAAGAAGUAUGAUGUGGUGCUGCUGAUGGGACUUGGGAUUGGGGUGACACCUAUGAUCAGAAUCGUGAAGGAUAUCACUAAUAACAUGGAGAUGAUAGAAGGGAAAGAAUUAGGGUAGCAGAAAGAUUAGUGAAAAUUAAGUUUAUUGGCUUUAAAGGGAGUAUUUAUAGUAUGUUGUAUAGAUAUUUGCAAAAUAAAAUUUACAGGCAUAUGCUGGAAAAUAUGCUCUAGAUAAGGAAUAAUUCUUCAAGGAGUAUGCUGAAGCCCAUGCUAACCUUAACAAUGUUGGGGUCAGGCUUGUCAUUAUGAGUGCUUUGUUCAAGCCUGAAGUUGCAACCACUAACAUGAGAGGCAGAGAGAAGAAGACAGAGAUAGAGAGAGGCCUAAUAGAGAAGAAUCUGAGAGAAAGAGAGGGGGAAAAGAGGACCGUGAAAAAGAAGAACGUGAGAGGGAGAGACAUAGAGAGGGAGAAAAGGGGAACGAGAGAAGGAAAAAGAGCGGGAAUGAGAAAAGGAGAACUCAUCAGGGAGAAGGAGAAAUGUCGAGGUAUAACAAGAACAUAGAAGAGUGGCUAAGAAGAGGUAGUGCUAAUAGAAGUCUCAGGUUUGAAAUUGAGCUCAAACAUGGAGGUAAUGCAGGUAAAGUUAUUUAUUUAUUUUCAUGCCAUUUGUAAAUUUGCCUUUUUGUUUGAAAAGAAAAGGCCAAGUGUGAAUAGCAAUUUGUUUGAGGUCUUGUUAAUGCGUUGGAGCUUCUUAAGCCUUUGAAGGAGCAGUACUCUGGGAUAACAUAUGCAGAUUUGUCUCAGUUGGCCAGUGCUACUGGUAUUUAGGUGCUGGUACCGCUAAUCAUUUAUGAGAAAUUUUUAACAUAAUGGGAUGUAAUGACAAGGAAAUAGCAACUUGCUCAAUAACCUGCUGAUCAUUUAUGAAAAUAUAUUUCAAACCAAAAGAAGUCAAGGCAUCAAUUGUAACAAGUCGUGGAUUAUGUCCUGGUCUCAAUGAUGUCAUCAGACAGAUUGUAAGCACACUUGAAAUAUAUGGUCUCUGAAAGAUAAUGGGGAUUCCUUUUGGUUGUCGAAGAUUUUCUGAUAAAGGCUUGAGUGAAGUGCCGCAAUGUAGCUUGCAGAUGAGAAGACGCAACCAGAAGGGUUACCUCCAGGAUGGACCAAAGAAAGGUCAUAAGAUCAGAAGAUAUUCGCUGUUCGGGCUAACAUGAGAGCAAUCAUCUUUACUUAUACGUGUUGAAAGUACUGAUCUAAUGGCAGAGUUUAUUGGGCGUUUCCCUAUUUUAGUUAGUUCAUCAACUCUUGCAAAGCAUCAAAUUGUGCAGGUGAAGCUACAUCUUACAGAAAAAGCACCGAGAUUGAUUGCAGAAAAGCCAUACAGAGAGUAUUCUAACUGAAGCCAUGUAUGUGUCGCAGGGCUUCAUAAGAACGGACACUACAUGUUUGUCACAUGCGCUGCAGCCUAUUCCUUCCAAUGGUAAUUAGUUAAGCCAUUUAUUAAUUAGACAAUAAAUUAAAAGGAAUUUAAUGUACUGUAGGCACCCAUCUUCAAUCACAUCAGCACCACCAGACGACUACCUUAGUGUCCACAUUCGAACAGUAGGUGACUGGAUGCGCAAACUCAAGACGGUUUUCUGAAAUUUGUAAGCCUCCACCGGCUGGCAAGAGUGGGUGCUGAGAGCUGAGGGAGACAACUCAGCUGGGUUUCCAAAGAUAAUAACAUACUGUCUAUAUGGAGCUCCAGCACAAGACUGCAAGAAGUAUGAUGGUAUGAAGGUCGCACUUGGCUAUACGAAGAUUAUCAUUUAAGCCAAAAGACAAUAUAGAGCUGGAAGAUGAUAAAUUAAGCUUGUCCCCUAUGUUUGCUGUAUCUUCUCGGCGCUCAACAUCACCUAUUGCUGCUAAUGGAAUGGAUGCUUUCUCCUUCACAGCUGGUGAUCUCUCACCUUUAAAUUCUUCACUGAACUUUGCUUGCCGCUAAGCAUCCUGUUAUUGGGAGCUAUGAAAAGCUUGCCUCAGGUCUUCUUUUUCUUUCUUUCUCUCUCUCUCCCACUUUGUUCACCUCCCUUCUUUUAUUUAUUUAUCUUUUACGUUUUUUGCUAUCCUUGUUAUAUUUAUGUAUCCUUGGUAUAUUUAUGUAUACUACAACUUAUAAGGUGUUUUGGGAUUUGCAAGAAAUUGCCAUUUUUUGAGAGGAUAGAGGUCAAUAUAUUAAACCAAUGCUCCCAAAGGUUUGUCCUUAUACUACUCUUGUUUGAAUUGCUGAGAGACGUAUCAGAAACAAUGAAACAGAAGAUACGAGCAGCGUAUGAAACGAUCGGUGGAACUCCAGAUAAGCCUUAGUCUGAUUAUUCUCUAGUAUUAUGAUUGGAAUUGUUGUUCUGACAAAUCUAAUAUAGUUUCUUGGAAAUUAAGGUUUAGUUUAUGAUGAUUAUUUAAGGAUAGUAUCGUUUUUUAUGUGUAUGGUAAUGCUGUGAGUUCAUUAUAUCUUUAGCUGCUUGUCAAUGACCGAAAUUGCAUCUGUUCCAAUGUUGUUGACUAUGUGAAUCACGGUAACUCUAGUCGUAAUGAAUUGCCACAUGAACUAAUGACAUAUUAGUUCAAAGAAAAAAAACUAAUGGAACAGUCAGUGUGUUUGUGUUUCUAUGAUUUGGUGUUUUUCUAUGUGGGCGUGUUUGUGUUUCUAUGCUUUGGUGCUUUUCUUUGUGGGUGUGUUUCUCUCUUUCUAUUUGUAAGUGUGUUUGUGUUUCUUUGCUUUGAUAUUUUUGUAUGUGGGCGUGAUUGUGUUUAUGUGCUUUAGUGUUUUUUUUUGUGGGUGUGUUUUUCUAUGUAAGUGUGUUUUCGUUUCCAUGUUUUGGUGUUUUUGUACGUGGGUGUGGGUGUGUUUGUGUUUAUAUGCUUUGGUAUUUUUCUACGUGGGUGUGCUUGUGUUUAUGUGCUUUGGUAUUUUUCUACGUGGAUGUGGUUGCGUUUAUGUGCUUUGGUGUUUUUAUAUGUGGGUGUAUUUGUGUUUAUGUGCUUUUCUAUGUGGGUGUUUUAAUAUUUCUGUAUGUAAGUGUAUUUGUGUUUCUAUGCUUUGGUGGUUCUCUGUGUGGGUGCAUUUGUGUUUCUGUGCUUAGGUGUUUUUGGAUGUGAUUGUGUUUCUGUUUUUUGUUUCUCUGUAUGGUUUUGUUUGUAACUUUUUAAUUUUUUUGUCUUUACAUAUGCUAAUUUAGUUAUAUUUUUAUUGUGAAUAUUUCCUAUCCGUUUGGCGAGCUGAGUUUCUAGUGUUGCUUUUCUUUUGGUUUAGAUCCAAAUUUGUACCAUAUACCAUAAUCUCUAUUAGUUUAAUAGUGUUUUCCUUUUAAAGUUUGAACUGGAAAUAUUUAGAAUUAGAAGUGCAAUACAUGGAUCCAUUAGCUGGGAAUUUUAUUUGUGUUUUUCUCUGCAUUCUGGCUACCUUGCAGGAAAACAACUAAUGCUUCAUAUUGACGAGUUGGUGCCUCGCGUCUUGAGGACCCUGCUGCAUCCACAUUAAAUGCUGGGAUGAAGAAGACAUAAAUGCAUCCACAUGACAGACUUUGUAUUUCUGUUUUUUUGUGAUCCUUGUAAUAGGCUUUGUAUUUGUUUUAUUUUAGAUAUAAAAUUGUUUUAUGCAAAUAAAAACCUAUGACAUGUGUUGAUUUAAGUA
This is a long non-coding RNA of Mercurialis annua (annual mercury), 8651 nucleotides long. RefSeq lists it as uncharacterized. Lineage: Eukaryota; Viridiplantae; Streptophyta; Magnoliopsida; Malpighiales; Euphorbiaceae. The record is from RefSeq and is a predicted model, not a curated record. The transcript is spliced from 38 exons.